Molecule: ribosomal RNA, 414 nt
Filed under: uncultured microorganism
Description: bacterial SSU rRNA
Rfam family: Archaeal small subunit ribosomal RNA
Source: RNAcentral
CAGCAGCCGCGGUAAUACCGGCGGCCCGAGUGGCGGUCACUAUUAUUGGGCUUAAAGCGUCCGUAGCCGGGUUGGGAAGUCCUCCGGGAAAUCUGGCCGCUUAAAGGUCAGAAUGCCGGAGGAUACUCCCAGCCUAGGGAGCGGGGGAGGCCGAGGGUAUUCCCGGAGUAGGGGGGAAAUCCUAUAAUCCCGGGAGGACCACCUGUGGCGAAGGCGCUCGGCUGGAACGCGUCCGACGGUGAGGGACGAAGGCCAGGGGAGCAAACCGGAUUAGAUACCCGGGUAGUCCUGGCUGUAAACGAUGCGGACUUUGUGUCGGACAAGCUAUGAGCUUGUCCGGUGCCGGAGGGAAACCGUUAAGUCCGCCGCCUGGGGAGUACGGCCGCAAGGCUGAAACUUAAAGGAAUUGGCGGG